RNAcentral lists this long non-coding RNA (1474 nucleotides) under Homo sapiens (human). Its description in RNAcentral is "LHRI_LNC1057.1". The record is from RNAcentral. Lineage: Eukaryota; Metazoa; Chordata; Mammalia; Primates; Hominidae.
CAGACACCAAGGAAGUGAAUGGGGAAACAGGGAACAGAACUCAGGUCUCUUGACUAAUGUUUUAGACAUUAAAUAAAUAGGUUAUUAAAUGAAUAGAAUUAUUCUAUAUGAAUAAUUUCAUAUAGAAGGAAGAAAUGCUAUGUGCAAGGUAGAGAGAAAUUAUACAAGAAGCCUCAUUUGGUGCAGGAGUUCAUUUUACGGAAGGUACCUCCUAAAUUUGGUAGAACAAAGACUCAAAACCAGUCUAUGCCCUCUCUCCUGCAAACCAACCGUUUGAUCUUGAACAUAUCAACUCACCUUUCUAACCAGAGUUUCUACUCUAGUACAUCAUUCAAGUAUUUCUUGAGCAACUAAAACAGUGAUGUUGUGGAUAAAGCAGUAAACCAGGUAUAAAGCGUAAGGCCUGCUCCAGAAAACUUCCUAAAAGGCCUAGAACAUGGCUAAAGGAUAUCUCAGAUCCUUUGGACAGUUCUAACGUUCUAUUAAUCUGGGACAGUGGCUCACUCCUCCCUAACCCUGUUUCUUUUCCCCUCAGAGUGUGCCUCCCAUCAUCAUCAUGCUGCUUCUCCUCAGACUGACACUUUUAAUUGGUGAACCUAUUGAGCAGGGUCUAGAGUCUGAAUUCCUUGUUUUCUAAACUGCCUAGCUUAUAGCUGGGGAAUGCUAGGAAAAUGCCAAGUUAGAUAUUUACGUUUCUUGCCUCAAAAGGUUCACUGGAUUCUGGGUUCACUGAUGGAUUAGAACUGAAAUCCAUCAUCUCUUACAGUGGGUCUAGUCUCCAGAUUUGCUGCUGUGUCUGCUGAUACCCUCGACGCCCCAGCACCAGCCUAUCUGGCUCCCUAUUCUGCCACUGGCUACAUUUUCAGGCAAUAACAGAGGAGGUGCAGGCAUUGUGUGGUAGGCCAAAUAAUCCUCCCCUCCCCCAAAGAUGUCCAUGCUAUAAUCCCUAGAAUCUGUAAAUAUGUUACCUUACAUGGCAAAAGAGACUUUGCAGGUGUAAUUAAGGUUAAGAACCUUGAGAGGAGGGGAUUAUCCUGGAUUAUUCAAGUAGGCCCAAUGUAAUCACGAGUCCUUGAAAGUGGAAGAGGAAAGCAGAAGAGUUGCUGACUUUGAUGAUUGAGGAAGGGGUUCUUAAACUAGGGCAUGUGAGUGGCUUCUGAAGCUGGAAAGAACCCUCAGCUGACAGCCACCAAGGAAACAGAGAUUUCAGUCUUACAGACUCAAGGAACUACAUUCUACCAAUGAUCAAUGUACAAGGAAAUAGAUUUUCCCUCGAGCCUCCAGAAAGGAACCUAGCCUUGCUGACACUUUGAUUUUAGACUGGUGAAAUUCAUGCUGAACUUAUGACCUACAGAGUUGUAAAAUAAAUAAAUAAAUUUCUUGAUUGUGCAGAUUAUUUUGUUAAAAAAAGAAAAAAACCAAAUUUUUGUAUUAAGAUGCUAAAUUGGUAGUAAUUUGUUUCAGCAGACAGAAA